This 1266-nucleotide long non-coding RNA is filed under the name Homo sapiens (human). RNAcentral describes it as "non-protein coding lnc-HK2-3:1". Lineage: Eukaryota; Metazoa; Chordata; Mammalia; Primates; Hominidae. The record is from RNAcentral.
ACCAUUAAGGUUUGUUGUUCUUUUUAUUUAUUUAUUUAUUUAUUUAUUUAUUUUUAUUUUUAUUUAUUUAUUUAUUUUUUAUUAUUAUACUUUAAGUUUUAGGGUACAUGUGCACAUUGUGCAGGUUAGUUACAUACGUAUACAUGCACCAUGCUGGUGUGCUGCACCCACUAACUCGUCAUCUAGCAUUAGGUAUAUCUCCCAAUGCUAUCCCUUCCCCUUCCCCCUACUCCACAACAGUCCCCAGAGUGUGAUGUUCCCCCUCCUGUGUCCAUGUGAUCUCAUUGUUCAAUUCCCACCUAUGAGUGAGAAUAUGAGGUGUUUGGUUUUUUGUUCUUGCGAUAGUUUACUGAGAAUGAUGAUUUCCAAUUUCAUCCAUGUCCCUACAAAGGACAUGAACUCAUCAUUUUUUAUGGCUGCAUAGUAUUCCAUGGUGUAUAUGUGCCACAUUUUCUUAAUCCAGUCUAUCAUUGUUGGACAUUCAGAGAGCACAGGGUUGGGGGUAAGGUCACAGAUCAACAGGAUAAGAAUUUUUCUUAGUACAGAGCAAAAUGAAAAGUCUCCCAUGUCUACCUCUUUCUACACAGACACGGCAACCAUCCGAUUUCUCAAUCUUUUCCCCACCUUUCCCCCCUUUCUAUUCCACAAAACCGCCAUUGUCAUCAUGGCCCGUUCUCAAUGAGCUGUUGGGUACACCUCCCAGACAGGGUGGUGGCCGGGCAGAGGGGCUCCUCACUUCCCAGUAGGGGCGGCUGGGCAGAGGCGCCCCUCACCUCCCAGACGGGGCGGCUGGCUGGGCGGGGGGCUGACCCCCCACCUCCCUCCCGGAUGGGGCGGCUGGCCGGGUGGGGGGCUGACCCCCCCACCUCCCUCCUGGACGGGGCGGCUGGCCGGGCAGAGGGGCUCCUCACUUCCCAGUAGGGGCGGCCGGGCAGAGGCGCCCCUCACCUCCCGGACGGGGCGGCUGGCCGGGCGUGGGGGCUGACGCCCCCCCACCUCCCUCCCGAACGGGACGGCUGGCUGGGCGGGGGGCUGACCCCCCACCUCCCUCCCGGAUGGGGCGGCUGGCUGGGUGGGGGGCUGACCCCCCCACCUCCUUCCCGGAUGAGGCGGCUGGCUGGGCAGAGGGGCUCCUCACUUCCCAGUAGGGGCGGCUGGGCAGAGGCGCCCCUCACCUCCUGGAUGGGGCGGCUGGCCGGGCGGGGGGGCUGACCCCCCCCACCUCCCUCCCGGUCGGGGCGGCUGGCCUGGCGGGGGCUGACCCCC